AUGGGGUCCCCCAUCUUCUUCGGCCUCAGAGAGGAGCUAGAAGGAGACUCACCCACUCUCUUUCACGCCGGCCACCGCGCACCGUCGCAUCACCAGUUGCGAAAAACGGUGACCGGCUCUCACCCUCGCAGACGUUACACUCUCACUCUCACUCUCACUCUCAGGCUUUCAAUUUCAGUGUGUUACCACUUACCAGUAUCCUCUAGUAAAGGAAUACCCCACAAACAACAAAAAGAUAGGUUAUUUUGGUGGGUGGGGAAAGAACAUAAGUUCUUCAAAAGGAACAAGAGAGAAGUUGCUAUUUCAAAACAAGUUGGUAGUAAGAAAUGUUGA
Molecule: non-coding RNA, 333 nt
Organism: Vicia faba (fava bean)
Lineage: Eukaryota; Viridiplantae; Streptophyta; Magnoliopsida; Fabales; Fabaceae
Source: the annotation of a GenBank genome assembly